CAAGUUUCUUAGGUAUUUGAUACUAGAUGUAGAUCUCAUAUUUAUACGAAUAUGGAGAAACUAAAUAGAAGUAGACCAGUGCGAAAGGGAGAAGUUGACCUACAGGUUGAAGAUGAGCAAAGGUUGUUGCAUUACCAGUAGGAAUAUACUUCUUGCCAUUGCCUUUUGGUUUAGUAUUGGAAUUAGAGAAAUGUCGUUUUGUACCCACUAUAGCUGGAACAUUAAAAUGAAUUUCAUGUUUGGACAUAAACUAUUUUAAUAUUAAGGACAAUUGUUGUUUUUAUUUAUCUUGAUAAAGAUCCUAAUGGCUCUAGUAUAUUAAAGAAUAUAAACAAUUUUUGUUUAUAUUCUUUAAUAUAAAGGAUUCUAUAAUAAGUAUAGAAAUUAUAAGGCAUAAAUGCGAUAAUCUAAUUAUUACCGAAAUCUGGCAUGACAGACUUUGCCAUAUAGAUGAAAUGCAAUAUUACAUAGAGAUGUGUAUGUGGAGUCAAUUGAUUUUGAAUCAUUUGACAAGUGCAUAUCAUGCCUAUUAGGCACAAUGACCAAAUCUCAUUUCAGUUGAAAGGGAGAAAUGUCUGUAUAAAUAUUUGCAUGAUACAUAGUGAUGUAUGUGGACCUAUGUCAAUUAAUGUCAGAUGAGGUUUCUCUUAUGUCAGCAAUUAUCAUGUAUACUUGAUGAAAUUCAAACAUGAAGUUCUUGAAAGGUUCAAAUGAUUCAAGCUAGAAGUAGAGAAAUAAAUAGGAAAAGAUACCCUCACAUUAAGAUCCAAUCGAAGUGAGAGUAUUUUAAAGAUAAAAUCUAGAUUAUUUAAGAGAGAAUGAGAUUCUCUUACAGUGGACUCAUUCACAUACACUGCAGCAUAGUGGUCUAUCUAAAAGGAGAAAUUAUUAAUUAUUAAAUAUAGUGCGAUUAUUAGCAAGCCAUGCAAAUCUCCAAAAAUUGUUUUGGGAUCAUGCACUGAUUGCAGUGUGUAACACACAAAAACAUGUCACAUCUAAGUUGAUUAACAGAACUCCAUACAAGUUAUGAAAAGGCAAUAGUCCCAAGUUAUCUCAUAUGAAAGUUUUGGGCCAUAACGCUUAUUUGAAGUGCUUUAAAUCGGAUAAAUUUGAGACUAAAUCUGAUAAAUACAUAUUUGUGGGAUAUUUAAAGCUGAUAUUUGAGUAUAAAUUCUAUUAUCGUGAAGAAAGUCUUCAUCUCACGACAUAUCGUCUUCUUAGAAAAAAUAUUUACUCUAGGGGAGAACAGUGUGAGCAAAAUAGAAUAUGAAAAAGUUCAAGAGUCCACAAAUAUAGUUAGCCAAGUAGAUGAAUCCGAGUUUGAUCCCAUAUCUGAUAUGGGACAUACUUUUGA
Molecule: long non-coding RNA, 1354 nt
Filed under: Olea europaea subsp. europaea
Lineage: Eukaryota; Viridiplantae; Streptophyta; Magnoliopsida; Lamiales; Oleaceae
Source: RNAcentral